RNAcentral lists this ribosomal RNA (370 nucleotides) under uncultured eukaryote. Its description in RNAcentral is "partial 18S ribosomal RNA". It matches the Rfam family "Eukaryotic small subunit ribosomal RNA", at positions 592 to 976 of the family's 1831-position model. The record is from RNAcentral.
CAAUAGCGUAUAUUAAAGUUGUUGCAGUUAAAAAGCUCGUAGUUGGAUUUCUGGUCGGAAGCUCCUGUCCUCUGAUGAGCGUACAAGUGCGUCCUACCAUCCUUCUGUUAACCUUUAAGGCUUUCGCGGCUUUCUAGGGGCUCAGAUAUUUUACCUUGGGAAAAUUAGAGUGUUUCAGGCAGGCUAGCGCCGGAAUACAUUAGCAUGGAAUAAUGGAAUAGGACUUUUGCCUCUUCUGUUGGUCAUGAGGCUCGAGUAAUGAUUAAUAGGGAUAGUUGGGGGCAUUAGUACUUAACUGUCAGAGGUGAAAUUCUCGGAUUUGUUAAAGACUAACUUAUGCGAAANCANNNGCCAAGGAUGUUUUCAUNAA